GGGAGAAGUAUGCGUCCUCUUACCCUUUCCCCUGCUGUUGGUCAGCUUCAGGAGUGAGGGCUCAAUGUGAAGUGGGGAAGGAAUGUGUCUCAGCUGCUCUCUAUGGUUCACAGCUCCUAGACUCGGAAUAUAAGCUCCUUUACAUUCUGCAGACGAACCAGGACAGACAGGAACCAGAGAUAAUGGGAACUGCAGAUGCUGGAGAUUCCAAGAUAAUAAAAUGUGAGGCUGGAUGAACACAGCAGGCCAAGCAGCAUCUCAGGAGCACAAAAGCUGACGUUUCGGAUUCCUUCAUCUUUCAUCUUUCGAUAAGGAUUUGAAAGGUGAAAAUUAGAAAUCGAGUGAGUGAGUAUUCAACGAAGCUUUAUAAAGUCUGACAGUAGCCCCCGUCACUGAAUUGAAAAAUACCGAUCCCGGUUUUGUCACGAACAGACUGGAAUUGCUGAAUUUCUCUGUUUGCCGGGCAGGGCUGUUUACCGCCACGAUUAUUGGGGGCAACGUUAUCUGAGCCGUGUGAGUCCGCCAUCUUUAUCCGGGGCCAACUGGAAGCGGAGCGCACGCAUGUCCUUUAUUUGCUGGGAACGGGGCGAGGGGAAGGAGAACAGGAUUUACGAACCACAACUUCAAACCAAGAGAAAUGCUUUUCUUUUUCUGUUCUGAAUCUCUAUCCUGGACUGAUCGUGAUUGAUCUGUAAGAUUGCAAAAUCCAUGUCAGCAGAGGAAUUGGCAGACUUAAACCUGAAACCAAACUGUCAAAGAGUAACUCGAUUGAUGAGGAUCUGAAUAUUAUCAGCAUCUGAAUGUGGUAGCGUUCAGGAAGUUGGAGCAUUUGCAGUCAGUGAACUCAAAUGUCACUUUAGAUUCUGACGGGAAUGUUGAAUUCAUCAUGUCUUGAAUAUCGUCAGGCUUUGGUCAUGGAAGCCAAAACCAGUGUCCGCACUGAGAAGCCAUGGAAAUGUGAGGACUAUGAGAAGGAAUUCAAAUAUCCAUCUUGCCUGGAAAGUCAUCAGUGCAGUCACACUGGCGAGAGACUGUUCACACUGGUGAGAAACCAUUCGGGUGCACUCACUGUGCGACUCGCUUCAAGCGACCAUCUAAACUCUCAAUACACCAGCGUGUUCACGCUGGGGAGAGACUGUUGAUCUAUUCCAUUUGUAGGAAGCAUUCCAUUCACUCAUCUGACCUCGUGAAACACCAGCAAGUUCAUUCUAAUGAGAGGCCUUUUAAAUGUUCAGACUGCGGGAAAUGCUACAAGUGUUCUGAAGAACUGAUGUCCCAUCAACGUGUUCACACUGAUGAGAGACCAAUAAGAUACUCUCACUGUGGGACUGAGUAUAGAUGAAUGUGUAAACUCACUGUACACCAAUGAAUUCACAUGGGGAAGAUACCAUUCACUUGCUUCAAGUGCAGGAAGGGAUUCACCAGAUUAUUGUACCUGCUGCAACACCAGCAAGUUCAUUCUGACGAGAAUGUGGGAAAUGCUAUAAAGAUUCUGGAGAAUUAGCACCCGUGAACUUGUUCAUGUUAUUGGAAUAACUUCUGAAUGUUCAGAUUGCAGAAAAUGCUUUAAAAGUUCUCAACAAUUGAUGAUCCAUCAAUGUGUUUACACAGGUGAGAGACUGUUCCAGUGCUCUCACUUUGAAACUGGGUUCAAGUGAUCAUUUCACCUCAUUGUAUGCCAGUGAUGUCACACUAGGGAGAGAUUGUUUGCCUGCAUGGACUGUGGUAAGGGAUUCACUCAAACACCCAAGCCCCUGAAAUAUGAGUGAAUUCACAAGUAACCAAAGUGGUUGCAUUUUGCUAUUAAUUAUAUUUGGCAGUGGGCACAUUUCAUUGUUGUCUAUUUCUACCAAUGUUAAAUUGACUUUCCUUCAAAUAUAGGUUUUUAUUUUAUGGAUAAAAGUCAAAUAAGUUAGCUUUGUGUUUAACACAAAACUUACAUUUUGUUUUCAAAUGUCCCAAGCACAAGCUAAUUUCUUUUGGCCUUCUUGGCGAGUGGAUUCAGAUACAGAAGCAGGAAUGUCCUUCUGUCAUUCCACAGGUCUCAGUGAGACCAUAGCUGGAUUAUUGCAUGCAAUUUAUGCCUCUUUAUUCUUGUGGAAGGUUGUUUCGGCUGUGGAGGGAGUACAAUGAAGGCUGACCCAAAUGAUUCCUGGAAUGAGAUAAUGGGAACUGCAGAUGCUGGACAAUCCGAGAUAACGGAGUGUGGAGCUGGAUGAACACAGCAGGCCAAGCAGCAUCUUACUGACAUGUGAAUAAAGACCAGAUCAGUAUUCACUCGAGUUCAGAAGACCAGAACCAUGGGUCAGACUUUAAGGAUAUGGGCUAAGCUAUUUAGGACUGAGAUAAGAAGUUUCCUCGCCUCCGGAAUUAUCUGCCACAGAAAGUACUUGAAGCCAAACCAUUGAAUGUAUUUAAGAAGGAUUUGGAUAUAUGUCUUGGGGUGAGAGGGAUCAGGAUAUGGAGAGAAAGCUGGAACAGAUGGAUGAACAGCCAUGAUCGUGUUAAAUGGUGGAGCAGGCUUAAAUGACCAAACAGCCUACUUCAAUUUUCUUUGUCAAUGGUUAUUAUUUUCCCUAAUACUUUUUCACUUCUGAUCAUUAUUAUGGUGCUUUCCUCCUUUUUUGCUGCUUAACUACUUAGUCUUUUUUUAAAAUGGUGUAAGUGUUCCCUACGGUGAAUUGGCCACUUGCUCUUGCUGCAAUCCUAAUGUGUCUGAAUGAAACCAAGAAACAAAGCCCUGUUCGUUGCCAUUGAGAAAUUUGAAAGAACCUCUUUGCUGUUUACUCAAUAGCA
Molecule: long non-coding RNA, 2796 nt
Organism: Stegostoma tigrinum
Lineage: Eukaryota; Metazoa; Chordata; Chondrichthyes; Orectolobiformes; Stegostomatidae
Exons: 3
Source: RefSeq, a predicted model, not a curated record